This 237-nucleotide ribosomal RNA is filed under the name Acetobacter sp. RNAcentral describes it as "partial 16S ribosomal RNA". It matches the Rfam family "Bacterial small subunit ribosomal RNA", at positions 1299 to 1533 of the family's 1533-position model. Lineage: Bacteria; Pseudomonadati; Pseudomonadota; Alphaproteobacteria; Acetobacterales; Acetobacteraceae. The record is from RNAcentral.
UGCACUCUGCAACUCGGGUGCAUGAAGGUGGAAUCGCUAGUAAUCGCGGAUCAGCACGCCGCGGUGAAUACGUUCCCGGGCCUUGUACACACCGCCCGUCACACCAUGGGAGUUGGUUCGACCUUAAGCCGGUGGGCGAACCCGCAAGGGGCGCAGCCGACCACGGUCGGGUCAGCGACUGGGGUGAAGUCGUAACAAGGUAGCCGUAGGGGAACCUGCGGCUGGAUCACCUCCUUU